RNAcentral lists this signal recognition particle RNA (266 nucleotides) under Actinomycetota bacterium. RNAcentral's name for it is "signal recognition particle sRNA large type". It matches the Rfam family "Bacterial large signal recognition particle RNA". From Rfam's summary of the family: The signal recognition particle (SRP) is a universally conserved ribonucleoprotein involved in the co-translational targeting of proteins to membranes. Archaeal SRP consists of a 7S RNA and homologues of the eukaryotic SRP19 and SRP54 proteins. Lineage: Bacteria; Bacillati; Actinomycetota. The record is from RNAcentral.
CCGUGCUAGGUGGGGAAGUAGCGGCGCCCUGCAUCUGCAAUCCGCUCUAGCAGGACUGAAUUCCCUCUCGAGGGGCUCGGUUUCCGGGGUCAGCGCGUCGAUCGUGGCGUCGAUGGCCGGGUCCCGCGCGGUGUUGGCCCGUGAAUCAGGUCAGGUCCGGAAGGAAGCAGCCUUAAGCGGUCACCAGCAGGCGUUGCGGGGUCGCCCGGCCGGAGCUUUCGGCCGGCGAACGCGCUCGGAAACCGGUUUCGACGGAGGGUGCACGG